CUCUUCUGGAGCAGUGGUUCUCAACCUGUUUUAUAUAUAUUUUUGUAAAAUCUCACUACCUCCGUGUACCCUCAUUUGACAACCACUGUUCUAAAGAGUACAACUUCGCGUUGGCAGGGCUGGGUAACAGGACUGUUGUCUUUAGUUCCCAGGGAAGGAAGGGGUGUUGUAGAGUCCCCUCUCCGGAUGAAGCAGCUCUUUUUUUAAAAAGAGGACUUCGCGUAGGCAGGGAUAAGAAACUUGUGUGGUUGAGAGUGUGACUGGUAGGAUAAAUUGACUAGAUGGCAGUUCUAGCAUUGAUCCACGGCAAUAACACAGGCUAGUAAUUUGUUGAAAGGUCAAUUUAAACCUGCAUUGAGGAUCCUCAAAGAAAGAAAAAAAAAUUUUUGAAAAAAAUUGUAUAAACCUAAAAAAUACCAAAUUAAGAUGGGAAAUAAGAAUGAUAAAUCCCUAGCUCUUGAUGGAGAUGAGAAGUACAUGGUGAGUAAAUUUCUUAAUACAUGCCGAAGUGGAAGAAAAAGUAUGGAGUAGAAGGGAAGUUGAAAGUUGACGUGUGGAAGAUAGUGGUAGAACCUUUGGAGGAAAAUGUGGCUAGGAAGGGACUGA
Syngnathus acus (greater pipefish) is the source of this 606-nucleotide long non-coding RNA. RefSeq lists it as uncharacterized. The record is from RefSeq and is a predicted model, not a curated record. NCBI's taxonomy places the organism in Eukaryota, Metazoa, Chordata, Actinopteri, Syngnathiformes, Syngnathidae. The transcript is spliced from 2 exons.